This 1591-nucleotide long non-coding RNA is filed under the name Homo sapiens (human). RNAcentral describes it as "long independently transcribed non-coding RNA 1011 (LINC01011)". Lineage: Eukaryota; Metazoa; Chordata; Mammalia; Primates; Hominidae. The record is from RNAcentral.
AGACUACUGACUUGGACCAGCAGGGGAAUGGCUGUGACAAUAAAUAAGAUUGGGAAAACAAGAAGACGCCCUUGCAUACAUUAAGAUAUGUAUAUAUGGAAAUGUUACCGGGAGUCCCGGUUAUCCCAAAAAGGGUUGUUUCCUGUUGCGUGGUGAGGCCAAUGCACGAAACCGAAAGGGAGUGUGUCAAGCAGUGCAGGCUGUAUUCAAUGGCUAUGGAAUUGGAAGAUCUGAAAUCAACUUAGCUUGUGAGAGCUGGGAAGUUUCAGAGUCGUUGUCAUGGCGACAUGUUGUUUAGCAUGAGAACAGGAUGAUGAUAAAGCCAGAGGCUCUUCAGAGGCGCCAUCUUGGAUUUCGCCAGCUUCAGCUGGUUUCGUCCUAAGAAGGAACUUCGAAACACAGGCAUUCUUUUUCCUGAAAAUAAGCAGAGUUACAGCUGAGUAGGAAUUUAGCUCUGUCCCAUAUGCUAUCGCAUUGGGCAGCAAAAGCAGGGUGGGGUCCAGCGAAAUCAGCAGGCACUGCAAUGAGUAACAUACCCAGCCACGUUUAUGCAGCAUUUUUACGAAAAUGAAACCAUACUACCUGUAAAGGAAGAUAUGCUAACAAACAACAAAACUGGCAGGAACCAAGAUUCCUACUGACACUACCCUUAGUUUUAAUUUUCCCUGACAACAAAUGAGGUUAACAGAGCAUAAUUAUCUACCGUGACCCCUUCAAAAAGACAGGCUGUAUACAUUUGCACUAAGAGAAGAAAUCGUGUAAUGUCAGCAAAUUUCCCCCACUUAAAGCUUCUCUAUUUAAAAAGCUUCACGCACACAUGCACGCAUAUGUCUUCAAGAUGACCACAAUUUAUUUUGCAGUCAUUCUUUGCACCAGUUCCCAAUUUUUCCCACUAGCUUGCAAGCUCCGUGACUCGAGGAGACCGGGGGAUCAGAGUUUGUUUUUGCGGAGAAGUGAGUCCUUUAUGCCCCAAAUAGUGACUGACAUAGAGAAGGUACUCAGUAAACACUUUUUAAAGGAAUGCCUGCCUGACUGAAGCUUAAUGAUGUGAGGCUUCUAGUGGGAUACCCUACCUUGUUUUAACCUGAAGUGACUCUUCCUUAGCUAAGAGAGCCAGACGGACUCCAUCGUGACUCCUUCACUCGCAGCCCCUUACCCACCCCCUUCCUCAAGGACUUAACUUGUGCAAGCUGACUCCCAGCACAUCAAGAAUGCAAUUAACUGAUAAGAUACUGUGGCAAGCUAUAUCCGCAGUUCCCAGGAAUUCGCCCGGUUAAUAGCACCCAGAGCCCCUGCGUUUGUGUCCGGUUGAUAACGCCCAAAGCCCGGCGUCCAUCACCUUAGGAUAGACUUAAAGCCUCUGCACCUGGAACUGUUUACUUUCCUGUAACCGUUUAUCCUUUUAACUUUUUGCCUACUUUACUUCUGUAAGAUUGUUUCAACUAGACUCCCCCUCUCCCCUGUCUAAACCAAAGUAUAAAAGAAAAUCUAGCUCCUUCUUCGGGGCCAAGAGAAUUUCGAGCGCUAGCUGUCUCUCGGCUGCCGGCUAAUAAAGGACUCCUGAAUUCGUCUCAAAAAAAAAAAAAAAAAA